This 1208-nucleotide ribosomal RNA is filed under the name Lysinibacillus sp. RNAcentral's name for it is "bacterial SSU rRNA". It matches the Rfam family "Bacterial small subunit ribosomal RNA", at positions 34 to 1280 of the family's 1533-position model. The record is from RNAcentral. Lineage: Bacteria; Bacillati; Bacillota; Bacilli; Caryophanales; Bacillaceae.
CGGCAUGGCGGGGCGCUUAUACAUGCAAGUCGAGCGAACAGAGAAGGAGCUUGCUCCUUCGACGUUAGCGGCGGACGGGUGAGUAACACGUGGGCAACCUACCUUAUAGUUUGGGAUAACUCCGGGAAACCGGGGCUAAUACCGAAUAAUCUGUUUCACCUCAUGGUGAAACACUGAAAGACGGUUUCGGCUGUCGCUAUAGGAUGGGCCCGCGGCGCAUUAGCUAGUUGGUGAGGUAACGGCUCACCAAGGCGACGAUGCGUAGCCGACCUGAGAGGGUGAUCGGCCACACUGGGACUGAGACACGGCCCAGACUCCUACGGGAGGCAGCAGUAGGGAAUCUUCCACAAUGGGCGAAAGCCUGAUGGAGCAACGCCGCGUGAGUGAAGAAGGAUUUCGGUUCGUAAAACUCUGUUGUAAGGGAAGAACAAGUACAGUAGUAACUGGCUGUACCUUGACGGUACCUUAUUAGAAAGCCACGGCUAACUACGUGCCAGCAGCCGCGGUAAUACGUAGGUGGCAAGCGUUGUCCGGAAUUAUUGGGCGUAAAGCGCGCGCAGGUGGUUUCUUAAGUCUGAUGUGAAAGCCCACGGCUCAACCGUGGAGGGUCAUUGGAAACUGGGAGACUUGAGUGCAGAAGAGGAUAGUGGAAUUCCAAGUGUAGCGGUGAAAUGCGUAGAGAUUUGGAGGAACACCAGUGGCGAAAGCGACUAUCUGGUCUGUAACUGACACUGAGGCGCGAAAGCGUGGGGAGCAAACAGAUUAGAUACCCUGGUAGUCCACGCCGUAAACGAUGAGUGCUAAGUGUUAGGGGUUUCCGCCCCUUAGUGCUGCAGCUAACGCAUUAAGCACUCCGCCUGGGGAGUACGGUCGCAAGACUGAAACUCAAGAAUUGACGGGGGCCCGCACAAGCGGUGGAGCAUGUGUUGAAUCGAAGCAACGCGAGAACUACCAGUCUGACAUCCCGUGACACUGUAGAGAUAUAGUUUCCCUCGGGCAACGUGACGUGUGCAUGGUGUCGUCACCUCUGUCUGAGAUGUGGUAAGUCCUCACAAGGCAACCUGACCUAUUGCAUCACUUAUUGGCACUCUAAGAGAACUGCCGGACACACAAGAAGUUGGAGAUAGAGUCAAGUAUACUAUGCCUAGGUACUGCGUACGGUUCCAAUGGAUCUAACGGUUCAACUUCGAAAGGAGCAAGUCGCUCGA